AGUAAAACCAAUUCAAACCCGAAAACAGAGUCAGAACAUCAUAGUUCAAUGAAUCAAAGCAUAAAUGAAAGAAGCAUCGAUUAUAAGAGAUGAAACCUGAAACAUGAAGAGUGUUUGGGGAUGAAGAUGUUACAAGUGGAAGUGUUAGUAUGAGAAACAAAAGAAGACGAGUUCCAAAACUCAUCUCAGUUUUGUUUAAGAGGUAUGUAUAUGUAUGUAUGAGUCGUAUAUAUUUAUAGAAAUGAUGAUUCAAAAUCGAUUCUGG
This is a long non-coding RNA of Arabidopsis thaliana (thale cress), 265 nucleotides long. RefSeq annotates it as other RNA. Lineage: Eukaryota; Viridiplantae; Streptophyta; Magnoliopsida; Brassicales; Brassicaceae. The record is from RefSeq. The transcript has a single exon.